AAAUUGAAGAGUUUGAUCAUGGCUCAGAUUGAACGCUGGCGGCAGGCCUAACACAUGCAAGUCGAACGGUAACAGGAAGCGCUUGCUGCUUCGCUGACGAGUGGCGGACGGGUGAGUAAUGUCUGGGAAACUG
Molecule: ribosomal RNA, 133 nt
Filed under: Shigella flexneri
Lineage: Bacteria; Pseudomonadati; Pseudomonadota; Gammaproteobacteria; Enterobacterales; Enterobacteriaceae
Description: partial 16S ribosomal RNA
Rfam family: Bacterial small subunit ribosomal RNA
Source: RNAcentral